RNAcentral lists this ribosomal RNA (477 nucleotides) under uncultured bacterium. RNAcentral describes it as "bacterial SSU rRNA". It matches the Rfam family "Bacterial small subunit ribosomal RNA", at positions 916 to 1381 of the family's 1533-position model. The record is from RNAcentral.
GACGGGGCCGGCACAAGCGGUGGAGUAUGUGGUUUAAUUCGAUGCAACGCGAAGAACCUUACCUGGUCUUGACAUCCCGGAGACCCUUAGGAAACUAGGGGGUGCUUCCAUCUGGAAGAAUCUGGAGACAGGUGCUGCAUGGCUGUCGUCAGCUCGUGUCGUGAGAUGUUGGGUUAAGUCCCGCAACGAGCGCAACCCUUGUCCUUAGUUACCAGCACGUUAUGGUGGGCACUCUAAGGAGACUGCCGGUGACAAACCGGAGGAAGGUGGGGAUGACGCCAAGUCAUCAUGGCCCUUACGGCCUGGGCUACACACGUGCUACAAUGGUCGGUACAGAGUGAAGCGAAACCGCGAGGUGAAGCAAAACGCAGAAAGCCGGUCUCAGUUCGGAUUGAAGUCUGCAACUCGACUUCAUGAAGCUGGAAUCGCUAGUAAUCGUGGAUCAGCCAAGCCGCGGUGAAUACGUUCCCGGGCCUU